This 200-nucleotide ribosomal RNA is filed under the name uncultured bacterium. Its description in RNAcentral is "partial 16S ribosomal RNA". It matches the Rfam family "Bacterial small subunit ribosomal RNA", at positions 524 to 723 of the family's 1533-position model. The record is from RNAcentral.
CACGGGGGGAGCAAGCGUUGUUCGGAAUCACUGGGCGUAAAGGGCGUGUAGGCGGUCCAGUUAGUGGGAUGUGAAAUGCCCCGGCUCACCCGGGGACCUGCAUCCCAAACUGCUGGACUUGAGUACGGGAGAGGAUGAGGGAAUUCCUGGUGUAGCGGUGAAAUGCGUAGAUAUCAGGAGGAACACCGGUGGCGAAGGCG